This 511-nucleotide ribosomal RNA is filed under the name Salmonella enterica subsp. enterica. RNAcentral's name for it is "partial 23S ribosomal RNA". The stretch from base 1 to 366 matches the Rfam family "Bacterial large subunit ribosomal RNA", at positions 161 to 565 of the family's 2925-position model. Lineage: Bacteria; Pseudomonadati; Pseudomonadota; Gammaproteobacteria; Enterobacterales; Enterobacteriaceae. RNAcentral also lists the same sequence under 1 other name. The record is from RNAcentral.
AAUCCAUAGGUUAAUGAGGCGAACCGGGGGAACUGAAACAUCUAAGUACCCCGAGGAAAAGAAAUCAACCGAGAUUCCCCCAGUAGCGGCGAGCGAACGGGGAGGAGCCCAGAGCCUGAAUCAGCAUGUGUGUUAGUGGAAGCGUCUGGAAAGGCGCGCGAUACAGGGUGACAGCCCCGUACACAAAAGCGCAUGUGCUGUGAGCUCGAUGAGUAGGGCGGGACACGUGGUAUCCUGUCUGAAUAUGGGGGGACCAUCCUCCAAGGCUAAAUACUCCUGACUGACCGAUAGUGAACCAGUACCGUGAGGGAAAGGCGAAAAGAACCCCGGCGAGGGGAGUGAAAAAGAACCUGAAACCGUGUACGUACAAGCAGUGGGAGCCCCACCACCAAAGCAUUUGCUGUACCGCGUUGACGGAGCGAAGCGACGUCAAACCGAUAAAACAGCAGUGUAAAGUGAGCCGCAGGGCGCUUUGCGCGACAGCGCAAAGGCAGGCGGUUUCGCGUAGCGA